UUAUGAAGUUUAGGCCCAUGUUUUUAUAUAAUGUAGAUUUUAGUUUUGAAAAUAGUUUAGUUGGGCUAUGCCCAUGUCUUAAUUUUAAUUUUGUUAAAUUGAUGGAAUGACAUGGAAAAAUAGUAAGUUUUUAUUGGUCAACGUAAAUGAGGUGUAUUAAUCGAAAUGUUCUGAUUGGCUGUUGAUUUUAAUGAGGUGUCAAGCUGUGGUUAACUGAAAAAGCUGAGGUGUCAGCACAGGAAAGACUUGUAGUGUUUUAAUGGUGUUGAUUGUAAGCGCACUUUUACAUACUUUGAAAAUUACUUCUCAAAUAGGGAAUAACAUAACACUAGAUUUUAUGAAGAAGAUAAGAAUCCUAUACCAAUAAAAAUGUAAUAUGAUCCCCUUCUUCCCCCAAAAAUAAUGUUGUGACUGUGAAACUAUUGCUGAUGAGAACUCAGAAGGCAUUUUUCUU
Molecule: small RNA, 454 nt
Filed under: Arabidopsis thaliana (thale cress)
Lineage: Eukaryota; Viridiplantae; Streptophyta; Magnoliopsida; Brassicales; Brassicaceae
Description: ATSL196290
Source: RNAcentral